RNAcentral lists this ribosomal RNA (274 nucleotides) under uncultured bacterium. RNAcentral's name for it is "partial 16S ribosomal RNA". It matches the Rfam family "Bacterial small subunit ribosomal RNA", at positions 523 to 796 of the family's 1533-position model. The record is from RNAcentral.
AUACGAAAGGUGCAAGCGUUGUUCGGAUUUACUGGGCGUAAAGAGAGUGUAGGUUGUUUAUUAAGUCGGAUGUGAAAUCCCGGGGCUCAACCCCGGAACUGCAUUCGAUACUGAUAGGCUAGAGUUCGGGAGGGGUAAGCGGAAUUCCGUGUGUAACGGUGAAAUGCGUAGAUAUACGGAGGAACACCUGAGGCGAAGGCGGCUUACUGGACCGAUACUGACACUGAGACUCGAAAGCGUGGGUAGCAAACAGGAUUAGAAACCCGAGUAGUCC